Phyllopteryx taeniolatus (common seadragon) is the source of this 869-nucleotide long non-coding RNA. RefSeq lists it as uncharacterized. The transcript has 3 exons. The record is from RefSeq and is a predicted model, not a curated record. NCBI's taxonomy places the organism in Eukaryota, Metazoa, Chordata, Actinopteri, Syngnathiformes, Syngnathidae.
GGCGACGUGUGAGCACAUGACACGUUGAGGUUGAUGUAGGAGACGCACGAGCAUAGAAAAUCAAAGAGAAGCACAGAGAAGCGGACCUGCCCACAGCAGCAGAACCGUGGUGAUGAUGAGCAGCUCUCCAGUCUGCAGCACUCCAGCCGGAUAAUGGUCGCUCCUUUCCAGCGUCCUGAAGUGGAUGGCCCGGCUGGGUUGACUGUCGCCCUGGAGUCCAACGGACUGCACCUGAACACAACACAGAUAAGACUGAAGGAAGUUUAACUGCAUCAUGGGUGCCCCCUCGCUGGGAGGUGUGUUCGGUUUGCCUGCUGGGAUGUCAUCUUGGACUUCUGCAGGACAGGGGGGCUCUGCACAAUGUGGAGACUCCAUUCCGGUCUAGCCGUGUCAUGGUGGUCUCUACGGCUGCAUCGUCUGUGGUUGGGGGCUGUGGCACCUCUCGGUGUGGAUAGCUUUCCUCAACUGGUUCCUCAAUGCCAUUCCAUGUCUCUAUAUUAUUAAACAAUAUAUGUUGUGUGUGUGCUAGUGUCUUUUUUGCAGGUGUGUUCGUGUGGGUGUGUUUUGCAUUUACAUGCGUGGAUGGAAGUGAGUUCUUGUAUAUUUGUGGGUAUUUUAAUCGUCAGCUUUUAUCUCGGUAAAGCACUUUGUGUUGCAUUUUAAUGUAUGAAAAGUGAUAUACUGGAUAAAUAAAGUUGAUUUCGUUUGAUAUUUUUGCUGUAAAUUGCUUGUUUGCAUCUUUGCAAAUUUAUAAAAGCUCUACAGAAAACCAUCCAUCCAUCCAUUUUCUGAGCCGCUUCUCCUCACUAGGGAGGGCGUUCUGGAGCCUAUCCCAGCUAUCAUCGGGCAGGAGGCGGGGUACACCCUGA